AAGAAGAAGAAGAAGAAGAAGAAGAAAAAGGAAGAAAAAAGGGAGGUGGGGGGAGGAAGAAGAAGAAAAAGAACAAGUGAUAACCCAAUUGAUUUUUCAGUCUCGUUCUAUCCUUCGAGCUUACGUCAGAUGAGAUCCGCGAUCUACAUAUCUACGUGACCGGGACUGAUGAAUGAAUCGCGGAUGCGGAAUUAGUCCCGACGACGAAUAAGAAUAAAAAAUAUAAAGAGGCGUUAAGAAGAUAACGAAGACGAUGACAGGUGCGCGCCGCGCAAUUUGAACAACUUUUAACGAGGUGGAAAGUCCAAAGACGCGAAUGGCAGCGCGCGUGCAUUAAAAUCGCAUGUCGCCGUCAACGAAUUCACUAAUCUCUUUUUCUUCCCCUCCCCUCUUCUCUUCUUUUUCCCCUUUCCUUUCUUAACAUCGUAAAACUACUAAGCUCAAGAACUUUUGGCAAAUCGAAUAUUCAAUGAUACUUACAUAAGUUUAUUCAAAUGAAACACCCUCUAUAUGCGUACAUGCGUGCGCGUACUUAUUUUAAAUAUAAUUCAAACAUACACAUAUGCAUAUAUAUAUAUAUAUAUACACCAUAUACACAUACAUACGCCACACAUACACAACAUAUAUAUAUGCCACUUCUGACGUCACGAUCACGUGGUUGAAACAAAAAAAAAAGGAAGAAAAGAAAGAAAAGAAAGAAAAGAAAAAGAAAAGA
Molecule: long non-coding RNA, 715 nt
Organism: Vespa mandarinia (Asian giant hornet)
Lineage: Eukaryota; Metazoa; Arthropoda; Insecta; Hymenoptera; Vespidae
Source: RefSeq, a predicted model, not a curated record